RNAcentral lists this ribosomal RNA (307 nucleotides) under Gliophorus aff. laetus SAC-PR-9901 (CFMR PR-5408). RNAcentral describes it as "eukaryotic LSU rRNA". The record is from RNAcentral. Lineage: Eukaryota; Fungi; Basidiomycota; Agaricomycetes; Agaricales; Hygrophoraceae.
GUCGAACAAGUUUCCGUAGGUUCAAUUUCACUAAACAUCCUCUUCCUUGGAGAAUUCCUUUAACAUAUUGAAAUUAUACAUCCGGCAUGUUAAUGACGUUCUGGAGGGUUUGCUGGCGAAAAGUUGGCUCCUCUGAAAUGCAUUAGUGAAACCUUUCCAAACGGAAAAGCUUUUGAUAAUUGCUUUUGUCUAUGCCAUUGCCGUCGCCGUGAUGAUUUCGCUUACAACUGUCCUUUGGACAAAUCUUGACCUCAUUUGACCUCAAAUCAGGUAGGACUACCCGCUGAACUUAAGCAUAUCAAUAAGC